UUGAGAAAAUUUCGAGUGGGAUCAAAUUAAUAGAUUUUUGACCUAUCCUGUCUGAACUCAUCCGUAUUUGGUCCAACCCGAUCUGACCUGAAAGUCACACAAGUAGUACUGGUAAAAUGAAACAUUGCUUCGUGCUGUGUUAUGUUGAGACUUGUAAUAUAUAUAUGUGUGUGUGUGUGUGUGAGUGAGCUGGAGCUGUUUGUUUAGCUAAGUAGAGCAUAGACUUUGGUUGCCUGUUGAAGGUCAUCAGUCUUUUUGCUUAUAAGUUUUUCUUGAUUUUGGUCUUACAUGGCUUGUGCAAUUCUUUAUUAGCAGAUCCUUCCCUCCACUAAUCUGGAUUUUGGAAGUAUUCCAUUUUCCAGAACCGUGGACUCUGCUCCCGCACUCACUCUCUCUUUAGUAGAUCCUCUUGGAUCCUGUAGGAUAUUCCAAAAUAGGUUCUUGAUAGCUAAUCACAAUCUUGCAUCCCCAUGCUCUCCCCCUCCUCUUCCUGCACUCCCUCGCACUCUCUUUAUGACAGAUCUAUCAAAUCCUACAGGGUUUUCUCAAACAAGCUCUACGUGAAAUCAAUACCUAGUCAGGGUCCUGUCCAGUUCAUACCUGAAUUGGAGAGGGUCAAGUAUCCAAUCACAACCAUUCAUGAUUGGCACGAUGGCUAUGAUUGGAUGGGCCACACCGACUUACUGUCCAUAUACCUCGGAUCUAAUCAUGUUCACCGUGCCAAUUAUGAAUGAUGGUGAUUGGAGAACAGACACUCCAUAGUUUAGGUCUGAUUAUUAUGGGGGAUUCGAACUCAUCAGCACCUUGAUAUUCAUAAAGUAAUAAGUAUUAGAUAUUCAUAGGUAAAGCUAAAAAGGCAAUAAAUAAAAUUUACAUUUCUCAAACAAAUUUUUAUCAACAAAUUUAUAAGGUGAAUAACUUAACAUCAAAAGAAUAUAUAUAGAAAUUGAUAGACCAAAAUGGUGGAAAAUGAAAUUAAAGUGAGCAUCUUGCUAACUGUAUGUCUAGUAAUUGAAAUUAUUCUCUUGUCCAUCACUUUAAACUUGCCAUGAUUCUCAUAGAAAACUAAGUAAGAUGAUUUUUAUUUUACUCCAUUACUCCUAGUGUAAAUUAUUUUCUUAGAAUCAUAAGUUAUCUUUGUGUUCGUUGUUGUCUUCAGACUGGAACCUAUGCUCAAGAAUUGCUCCAUUGAUCAUUUUCUACUUCAGACAUGCUUCUUGAAGUUUUCUGUUUGGUGAAUUUCGAAGUUUGUUUCAAAUCCAAAAAUUCAAUAUCUUCCCCCGGAUUAAUGAAUCAGGUUAUGUUUUUUCUUUUCUUUUAGGUGCAGAAUGAAGAGCAGUGUGUCAAUUUUUGAAAAUUUCAUUGCAAAUGGAGUAAAUAUAAAAUACUACUAAUUGAAGAAUUUUUUUCUCCUUUGCUUAGCUUUCUUGUUCUCUCUCUCUCUCUCUCUCUCUNNNNNNNNNNNNNNNNNNNNUGCAAAAUGCAAAAUUUACACUCAUACUUGAAAGUUGAACUAGAAUCACCAAAAUGAAAAGAUAAA
Molecule: long non-coding RNA, 1540 nt
Filed under: Phoenix dactylifera (date palm)
Lineage: Eukaryota; Viridiplantae; Streptophyta; Magnoliopsida; Arecales; Arecaceae
Description: long non-coding RNA (PDAC_LNC004428)
Source: RNAcentral